Manis pentadactyla (Chinese pangolin) is the source of this 480-nucleotide long non-coding RNA. RefSeq lists it as uncharacterized. NCBI's taxonomy places the organism in Eukaryota, Metazoa, Chordata, Mammalia, Pholidota, Manidae. The record is from RefSeq and is a predicted model, not a curated record. The transcript is spliced from 3 exons.
GGGCUGGCGGGUCGUGAGGCCUCGGGGGGACAGGACUAUCCGGGAUGAGGCUUCUGCCCGCCAGCUAAUAGGAAUUCACAGUAGUCAUCAUCAUCAUUGUGAUCCUGUGACCGCUGAUGUUCAAGUGAGCGCUGGUGGGAGGGGGCAGCGUUCCGGGGAGCUGUGCAAACACCCCUCAACGUUCACAGUAACCACAAAGUUGGUUCUGCUCCGAGCCCCACUUUGUGCCAGAGGAAGCAGAGGCUUGGAUGGAGGUCAAGGGAGUUGAGAGCCGGAAGCUUCAGACAAGAAUUUAAAAUCGUUGCUUAGACAUCGUCUUAAGUACCUGCAUCUCAAAGCAGAACAGGCCUAUAAGAUUUUUCCUGGGGCUGUGGGGUCACCUUCUCUUCCUCCCUCCUGCCACCCCAAGUCGUCUGAGUUGCGUGGUACACAGUGGGAGAGCGUUGGCCUGGAUCUCAAGCUACCCCGUUCUAGUCCUGC